RNAcentral lists this ribosomal RNA (253 nucleotides) under uncultured bacterium. RNAcentral's name for it is "partial 16S ribosomal RNA". It matches the Rfam family "Bacterial small subunit ribosomal RNA", at positions 524 to 776 of the family's 1533-position model. The record is from RNAcentral.
UACGGAGGAUGCAAGCGUUAUCCGGAAUGAUUGGGCGUAAAGCGUCCGCAGGUGGCUAUGUAAGUCUGCUGUUAAAGAGUGAGGCUCAACCUCAUAAGAGCAGUGGAAACUACAUGGCUAGAGUGCGUUCGGGGCAGAGGGAAUUCCUGGUGUAGCGGUGAAAUGCGCAGAUAUCAGGAAGAACACCCGUGGCGAAGGCGGCUCUCUGGAACGCAACUGACGCUGAGACGCGAAAGCGUGGGGAGCAAACAGG